UACGUAGGGUGCAAGCGUUAAUCGGAAUUACUGGGCGUAAAGCGUGCGCAGGCGGUUUGUAAGUCAGAUGUGAAAUCCCCGGGCUUAACCUGGGAACUGCGUUUGAAACUACAAGGCUAGAGUGUGGCAGAGGGGGGUGGAAUUCCGACGUGUAGCAGUGAAAUGCGUAGAGAUGUGGAGGAACACCGAUGGCGAAGGCAGCCCCCUGGGUUAACACUGACGCUCAGGCACGAAAGCGUGGGGAGCAAACAGG
This 253-nucleotide ribosomal RNA is filed under the name uncultured bacterium. RNAcentral describes it as "partial 16S ribosomal RNA". It matches the Rfam family "Bacterial small subunit ribosomal RNA", at positions 524 to 776 of the family's 1533-position model. The record is from RNAcentral.